Molecule: ribosomal RNA, 468 nt
Filed under: uncultured bacterium
Lineage: Bacteria
Description: partial 16S ribosomal RNA
Rfam family: Bacterial small subunit ribosomal RNA
Source: RNAcentral
GACGAACGCUGGCGGCGUGCUUAACACAUGCAAGUCGAACGGAAAGGCCCUGCUUUUGUGGGGUGCUCGAGUGGCGAACGGGUGAGUAACACGUGAGUAACCUGCCCUUGACUUUGGGAUAACUUCAGGAAACUGGGGCUAAUACCGGAUAGGAGCUCCUGCUGCAUGGUGGGGGUUGGAAAGUGUCGGCGGUUGGGGAUGGACUCGCGGCUUAUCAGCUUGUUGGUGGGGUAGUGGCUUACCAAGGCUUUGACGGGUAGCCGGCCUGAGAGGGUGACCGGCCACAUUGGGACUGAGAUACGGCCCAGACUCCUACGGGAGGCAGCAGUGGGGAAUAUUGCACAAUGGGCGGAAGCCUGAUGCAGCAACGCCGCGUGCGGGAUGACGGCCUUCGGGUUGUAAACCGCUUUCGCCUGUGACGAAGCGUGAGUGACGAUAAUGGGUAAAGAAGCACCGGCUAACUACGUG